Molecule: ribosomal RNA, 514 nt
Filed under: uncultured fungus
Lineage: Eukaryota; Fungi
Description: eukaryotic LSU rRNA
Rfam family: 5.8S ribosomal RNA (bases 146-299)
Source: RNAcentral
UACCUAGAGUUUGUAGACUUCGGUCUGCUACCUCUUACCCAUGUCUUUUGAGUACCUUCGUUUCCUCGGCGGGUCCGCCCGCCGAUUGGACAACAUUCAAACCCUUUGCAGUUGCAAUCAGCGUCUGAAAAAACAUAAUAGUUACAACUUUCAACAACGGAUCUCUUGGUUCUGGCAUCGAUGAAGAACGCAGCGAAAUGCGAUAAGUAGUGUGAAUUGCAGAAUUCAGUGAAUCAUCGAAUCUUUGAACGCACAUUGCGCCCCUUGGUAUUCCAUGGGGCAUGCCUGUUCGAGCGUCAUUUGUACCUUCAAGCUCUGCUUGGUGUUGGGUGUUUGUCUCGCCUCUGCGUGUAGACUCGCCUUAAAACAAUUGGCAGCCGGCGUAUUGAUUUCGGAGCGCAGUACAUCUCGCGCUUUGCACUCAUAACGACGACGUCCAAAAGUACAUUUUUACACUCUUGACCUCGGAUCAGGUAGGGAUACCCGCUGAACUUAAGCAUAUCAAUAAGCGGAG